CGAGCUGUCACCUCCAGCCUCUCUCCCCUCGGCCGCCGCCGCCAGCAGCCAGAGCCGGACUCACUGACACGCCGCCGAGAGACACACACUGAGAGGGAGAUGAUUAUUAGUUGCGUUGAGUCAUCAGGCAAAAAUGCUCCUCCGGAUCAAUGUCCAGGAACUUAGAAGAAUUGGUGAUAUUAGGACUUCUGUACUUCUGGAAAAAAAAUGCAAAUGGUUAGGCAGGAUCUUUCCUGUCUGAUUCGUCACUAUUAUUAUAUCUGAUGAUGUGAAUGGUUGGAGCGAUUCAAUCUUAAGUCAUUAAUGAGCUAUUUUAUAAACUUCAAUGUUUGAAGAUCUUCAUUUACAUUUUGCAAAAGAUUACUUCGCUAACCUCGCAGGCUUGUGUCAACAGCAUGAUUCUGAGACUUGUGUUACACUUAGGAACAACACAGCCUUAUUGUUAAUCAGUUAAUAUUUUAUAAAGUGUAAAUAUUUUAUUAUGUUUUGAAGGGAAUAUUGAUUCUAAAUUAUUAAACCCCUGAGAAGGGCGAUUAAAUAAAGUAUACAAUUAAAUGUAUAUUGUGGUUAGUUUCCUUGCAGAUUCUGAACUCUUAAAAUUCAUUGAUUUUUAUUGUAGUUUCCUCUGGUCCAUUUUUUAUAGUGAUAAAAUCUAUUAUUUUGUUCAGAAGAGCUCAAAUUAUAUAAAAGUACAUGUAACAGUGAAAGUGGAAUGCUAUCAAUUAUUACCACAAAUGAGUUUUGAAUGUUUGUAUAUUUAUUUUUAGUAACACAUUUUACAAAUUUCAUUUGAUUCAAAAAAGAUUUUUUAAAAAAUGAGAAUUCUAGGAAGUUUUGUGAUGCAUAGUACAUUUUUCCUCUUGAGUUUGUCCCUAAUAAAGGCCUUUUCUGUUUCAAAUU
Molecule: long non-coding RNA, 900 nt
Organism: Sorex fumeus (smoky shrew)
Lineage: Eukaryota; Metazoa; Chordata; Mammalia; Eulipotyphla; Soricidae
Exons: 2
Source: RefSeq, a predicted model, not a curated record